This 450-nucleotide ribosomal RNA is filed under the name uncultured bacterium. RNAcentral's name for it is "partial 16S ribosomal RNA". It matches the Rfam family "Bacterial small subunit ribosomal RNA", at positions 354 to 796 of the family's 1533-position model. The record is from RNAcentral.
GUGGGGAAUCUUCCACAAUGGACGAAAGUCUGAUGGAGCAACGCCGCGUGAGUGAAGAAGGGUUUCGGCUCGUAAAGCUCUGUUGUCGGGGACGAAUGUGCAGUAUUUGAAUAAAGUACUGUAAUGACGGUACCUGACGAGGAAGCCACGGCUAACUACGUGCCAGCAGCCGCGGUAAUACGUAGGUGGCAAGCGUUGUCCGGAAUUAUUGGGCGUAAAGGGAGCGCAGGCGGGAAGGUAAGUCGGUCUUAAAAGUGCGGGGCUCAACCCCGUGAUGGGAUCGAAACUAUCUUUCUUGAGUGCAGGAGAGGAAAGUGGAAUUCCUAGUGUAGCGGUGAAAUGCGUAGAUAUUAGGAGGAACACCAGUGGCGAAGGCGACUUUCUGGACGAUGUCUGACGCUGAGGCGCGAAAGCUAGGGGAGCGAACGGGAUUAGAAACCCGGGUAGUCC